RNAcentral lists this ribosomal RNA (391 nucleotides) under uncultured Hypotrichia. Its description in RNAcentral is "partial small subunit ribosomal RNA". It matches the Rfam family "Eukaryotic small subunit ribosomal RNA", at positions 30 to 432 of the family's 1831-position model. Lineage: Eukaryota; Ciliophora; Spirotrichea. The record is from RNAcentral.
GCUUGUCUCAAAGAUUAAGCCAUGCAUGUCUAAGUAUAAAUGUUAUACAGUGAAACUGCGAAUGGCUCAUUAAAACAGUUAUAGUUUAUUUGAUAAUCGAAUCUACAUGGAUAACCGUGGUAAUUCUAGAGCUAAUACAUGCUGGUUAGCCUGACUUCGCGGAAGGGCUGUAUUUAUUAGAUAACAAACCAAUAUUCCUUGUGUCUAUUGUGAUGACUCAUAAUAACUGAUCGAAUCUCAAAUUUGAGAUAAAUCAUUCAAGUUUCUGCCCUAUCAGCUUUCGAUGGUAGUGUAUUGGACUACCAUGGCAGUAACGGGUAACGAAGAAUUAGGGUUCGAUUUCGGAGAGGGAGCAUGAGAAACGGCUACCACAUCUAAGGAAGGCAGCAGG